RNAcentral lists this ribosomal RNA (404 nucleotides) under Tenodera australasiae. Its description in RNAcentral is "partial 12S ribosomal RNA". The record is from RNAcentral. Lineage: Eukaryota; Metazoa; Arthropoda; Insecta; Mantodea; Mantidae.
UUAGAUACCCUACUAUUUUUAUUGUAAAAUUUGAAACUUGAGUAUUAGUAGUUAAGGUCUUGAAACUUAAAGAAUUUGGCGGUAUUAUAAUCUAUUUAGAGGAAUCUGUUAUGUAAUCGAUAGUCCACGUUGAACCUUACUUGUAUUAUUUCUUGUAUACCGCUGUUUAAGAAUAUACUUUUAGGUAGAUUUUCUUGAUAUAUUACUAAUUAAAAUUUCAGGUCAAGGUGCAGUUAUAUAUAAGUUGAAUAAUGGAUUACAAUAAAUUUUAUUUAUAUGGAUUGUUAUUGAAACAUAAUUUGAAGGUGGAUUUAAUUGUAAUUUUGUAAAGAUUAUUAAAAUGAUUAAUAGCUCUAUAAUAUGUACACAUCGCCCGUCGCUCUCGUUAUUAAGAUGAGAUAAGU